RNAcentral lists this ribosomal RNA (389 nucleotides) under uncultured bacterium. RNAcentral describes it as "bacterial SSU rRNA". It matches the Rfam family "Bacterial small subunit ribosomal RNA", at positions 30 to 417 of the family's 1533-position model. The record is from RNAcentral.
AUUGAACGCUGGCGGCAUGCUUUACACAUGCAAGUCGAACGGCAGCACGGGUGCUUGCACCUGGUGGCGAGUGGCGGACGGGUGAGUAAUACAUCGGAACGUAUCCAGAAGAGGGGGAUAACGCAUCGAAAGAUGUGCUAAUACCGCAUAUUCUCUGAGGAGGAAAGCAGGGGAUCGAAAGACCUUGCGCUUUGGGAGCGGCCGAUGUCUGAUUAGCUAGUUGGUGGGGUAAAGGCCUACCAAGGCGACGAUCAGUAGUUGGUCUGAGAGGACGACCAGCCACACUGGGACUGAGACACGGCCCAGACUCCUACGGGAGGCAGCAGUGGGGAAUUUUGGACAAUGGGCGCAAGCCUGAUCCAGCAAUGCCGCGUGAGUGAAGAAGGCCU